UGUGUAGGUGGCGCCGUAAGUCGGGUGUGAAAUUUCGGAGCUUAACUCCGAAACUGCAUUCGAUACUGCGGUGCUUGAGGACUGGAGAGGAGACUGGAAUUCAUGGUGUAGCAGUGAAAUGCGUAGAGAUCAUGAGGAAGACCAGUGGCGAAGGCGGGUCUCUGGACAGUUCCUGACACUGAGACACCAAGGGCCAGGGGAGCAAACG
RNAcentral lists this ribosomal RNA (208 nucleotides) under uncultured bacterium. RNAcentral describes it as "partial 16S ribosomal RNA". It matches the Rfam family "Bacterial small subunit ribosomal RNA", at positions 568 to 774 of the family's 1533-position model. The record is from RNAcentral.